This is a long non-coding RNA of Chinchilla lanigera (long-tailed chinchilla), 249 nucleotides long. RefSeq lists it as uncharacterized. The transcript is spliced from 3 exons. NCBI's taxonomy places the organism in Eukaryota, Metazoa, Chordata, Mammalia, Rodentia, Chinchillidae. The record is from RefSeq and is a predicted model, not a curated record.
UGGGAAGAAUCUGAAAGUUUUAUCAGUAAAGACCAGCUGUAUUAAUUUUGCAUGCUUAUAUCUGGUAAUCUGAACAACUACUUUGAAGGACCCAGCACCAUGGAACUUCCGGAUCUUCCCUCAGAUCAAAAAUACAAUGAAAGAACAUGGAGCAUGGAGCUGAGCCAGCUUCAACCACGUAAGCAGGAGAUGGUGGUACAAUCAGAUUACAAGAAGAAAUUGUGUUCCUUGAUGGCAGGUAGAACAGAG